Molecule: transfer RNA, 67 nt
Filed under: Scolytinae sp. BMNH 1043123
Lineage: Eukaryota; Metazoa; Arthropoda; Insecta; Coleoptera; Curculionidae
Description: tRNA-Ser
Source: RNAcentral
AGUUAAUGAACUUGUAUUAUAGUAUUUAUUUUGAAAAUAAAAAAAAAGAGAACUCUCUUAUUGACUU